CUUGGUGCACCUAAAUAUUUAAAGCAAAUAUUCACUUAAAUGAGGGGAGAAGUAGACAGCAAUACAAUAGUAAUAGGGGAAUACAAUACCCCACUUUCAACAUUGAAUAUGAAUAGAUUAUCCAGACAGAAAAUCAAUAAGGAAAUAGAAGACUUGAAUAAAACUAUAGACCAAAUGGAGGACAUUAUGCUAAGUGAAAUAAGUCAGAGAAAGAAAAAUACCAUAUGAUCUCACUUGUAUGAGGAAUAUUAAAAAGCUGAACUUCUCCACACAAAGACUAGAUUGGUAGUUGCUAGGGCCUGUGGAGGUGGCGAAAGUGAGGACAUACUGGUCAAAGAGUAAAAUCUCUCAUUUAGAAGAUGAAUAAAUUCUGAGGAUCUAAUAUAUAGCAUAUUGACUGUAGUUAACAAUGCUGUAUUGUAUACUUGAAAGUUGCUAAGAGACUAAAUCUUAAAUAUUCUCACAAAAAAUGUAACUGUGAGUUGAUGGAUCACAAUAUAUACAUACAUCAAAUAAUCAUGUACACCUCAAAGUUUCACCAUGUUACAGGUCAAUCAUAUCUCAGUAAAGCUGAAAAAAAAUGAUUUAUGAGAACAGCUCCAGACAAUAGACAUAAACACAAGUGAUUAGAAGGAGGAGUAAAAUUGAGCCACCACAUUGUCUAAAAAAGAAGAGAAAGUAAAUGAAGUGAAAUGAGAAUUCUUUUUUUACUUACCACAUCCAAAGCAUUUGUUUACAUGGGUCAAAUAAAAUCUAUAAUGGCUGAUUUUGGACAGAUAGAUAGAUUGAUCUAGUUGUCUAAAUCUAAAUCGCUCUAUAUAUUGUUCACAUUCUUUAAACAAAUAUUUUCAAUAUUUAUUAUAGCCAGAACCUGAAGGCACAAAGAUGGAACUUCCCUCAAAGUUAUUUACUAUCUACUGUGGAAAAGAGAGAUGCAUGAAAUUAACUAUCAUGUUGAACCAUAUGAAAUUCUAAAUUUUUGAGUUUAUAAAACUGUGAAUAG
Molecule: long non-coding RNA, 1003 nt
Organism: Phyllostomus discolor (pale spear-nosed bat)
Lineage: Eukaryota; Metazoa; Chordata; Mammalia; Chiroptera; Phyllostomidae
Exons: 3
Source: RefSeq, a predicted model, not a curated record